This is a non-coding RNA of Physcomitrium patens, 2768 nucleotides long. Lineage: Eukaryota; Viridiplantae; Streptophyta; Bryopsida; Funariales; Funariaceae. The record is from RefSeq and is a predicted model, not a curated record.
UAGUCUAUCUAUUUUAUACCUAACAUUAAGUCCCCAAAUAUUAAGUGUGACUUAUUUAAUACUUAUCAUUGGUGCACUGUGCCCUAAUUCAGAGGACUGUCUAAGUCUCGAGAAGAUCUGUUAGGUCUUGGAAAAGGAGGGCGUUGGGACAUACCUGGCAUACGACUGGUUGCUCGAGGUGGGCUGCGGCUGCGGCUCCAACUACGCGUUGAAUUGGGAGAACUCGAUCUUAAAGUGGAUUGCCUUCUGAACUCAAGGCAGUCUUGCUGGGCAGUUCUGACUGUACUUGGAGAGGGGCUUGAGGCCGAAAAUACAUCCUUGUUAGUAGCAGGGUUGGCAUUGAGAUGAAUGUGUGGUAAAUGGUCUCACGUGAAUGCUUGAGCCUGCUGUGCCGCUAAAGAAGAGCUCGCUGGAUAUGCAAGCUAGGGAGUCUCGCCUAGCUCUGGCAUGUCAGCUGCAGUGAUGGGAACUGGGCAAGAGUCCUCUGCUUGUUGAGAGCGUCUACCUUCCAAUCGUUGAAGCAGGCAGAGGAUGUACUGGGGAUGCGAUUAGAUCCAUCAGUGAAGUCUUAUUUUGAGUAACGUUGAUAUGGUGGCUUGCAGAUGGAGAAACCAUUGCAGGAUGAAGGAAAGCUUGAUCUUGAAUAACAUUGACAUAGAGGCUUACUGAGGGAGAAACUAUUGCUCGAUGAAGGAAAGCCUGCAAUGGUAGUGGAGGCUGGCCUUCAAAUGGCGCUGCUGUGGUAGGUUUGGAUUCGACAAUGUCGAGAGAGCCGAUUGGAGAGACUUAGGCAGAGGAGAUAGAAUUAGAAUUAGUGUUUAUAAGGGACAUUGUAUGUAAUGGCUCAUCCCCGGGUGGUAAGUCUGCAAUGUGUGGUAGCGAGACCUUCAGGUGCUGUUGGUGGAGUACGAAUGUUGACGUCGCCUACGUUGGAUUGAACUUCUUUUGCAAGGCUGGAUAGAGUAGCUAUGGUGGGAUGCGAAUCUAGGGGAAGCUUGGCCUGUGGUGAUGUCCAUGGCUUCCCUUUGUGACCACGGCCGUCGACUGUUACAAACCCAUCUGCAUCGGGUUGUGCUUGUUGUGGGAGCACUCCUCUUCCAGCAUAUAUUGAGGAAGGACCUACCUUAUGCCGAGGGCCUCCUACAUUGCGAUCUGGGGGAUGCUCAUCUCAUGGGAUGUGUUGAUCCGCUCCAGAUUGGUGUGGGCAAUCUCUGAUUUUAUGAGACACCUUGAGACAGAGUCUGCACCUGAUUGGUAAAUCGGUAUAGUCUACUAGGAUGGUAAUUAAUCUUUGAUUAAUCUGAUUUUCAAUUUCCAAUUCUGUUUUUCAGCCAUUGGUUGUAUCAAAGGCUACACAAGCAUUGUUCAACAAAAAAUGAUUUACCCGAUCAAUACGGAGUCAGCACAGGCAGUUGGCGUGCAACUUCUGGGCUGGAAGCUUUUAAGAAAAAAAAAUCCCCUAUCGGCAUUAUCACUAGCCAUGACUGAGCCUCCUGCCAGACUUGCAUUCAAAGUACAGAGCCAUUGCGCAAAGAGUGGCAAGGUGAGCUUCCCACCCACCACCAUAUGGUCUUCGAGGUGCCGCGGCGACAACUUCCUAUGGUACCUAUACUCGUUUUUUUCUUUUUUUUAAAAAAAUGAGCAUAAUAUUGCAUAAAUCCCUCAGAAAGACGUUCCCUACCUGUCGCUUUGGUAGGGUUUAGUGACAGCCCUUGGCACUGAUUGCAAAGAGAGGCCACUAGAUCCCCUCGAUCACUGUCAACCAUGGAGGAGUCGUACCUAGGAGGCACAGAGUCAUUCAAGCCAUUAGUACGAACAGCAUUAACGUAAGAGAGCCAUUUGCAAAAACCCUAAUUACUAAUCCUAAAAACCUGUCCAAAUAAAGUGCCUACAGAUGUUAAAUCUGCGCAGCGGAAGAGAAUCGUACUCACAAAUUUCCUAGUGAGCUGUAGAAUGCAAGUUUCCAGCUUACACAUGUCAAAGAGUCUUUCCGAGCACAUGUGUUUCAUGUGACCUGGUUUACCACAAUAAUUACAUUGAAAUCUUUAAAAUGAAGAAGGGAGAGAGCCGAUGUUACCUUGAUUGAAUGGACCUUGUUGAUUUCUGAGGUUUGUAGUAUGCCGAUUGAAGGAGCCCCGAGAGUGGUUCUAUCGGUAAUACAACGCUUUGUCAGAGGUGGGAUUUGUUCCACGCUUUGUUUGACAACGACUUUCUUCAAGCAUGAUGCGGGAUUGAAGUUGGUCGAAGGUGGGAUAGCCGCCUCCACUUGUGUAACGGCUGAGGAAAUAGUCGUUAGAAUCUGGAAGUGAUUUUUGAACUAAAUCAGCAUCUUUUAGCUUGACCCCGAUGGCAAAUAGUUCCACUAGGAUUUGGCAGAACUGGGAAAAAUAGUGCUCAGCCCCGAGAUGCUCCAAGGACAUGAUUAGUUGAAGUCAAUUCUUCAAGUCAUAUUUCCAGCUGUCGUCUGUGUUUUUGAAGGACCUCUUGAGAAAGUUCCACAGGCGCUUAGGUUCAUGGUAAUCAGUCAACACCACAAAGAGAUUUGGUCUUCUCGACAUUGUUUUGUGAACGAUAUAUAUACGAGUUUGGAGAGAUGGACAAAUGUUAUUUAUCUAGGUCCUUUAUCUCAACAGAGUCCAGAAAUGUCUUCAACAGGGCCAAGAAUGGUACAUGGCUGAUCUUGUGAAUUGAUACUUGUAGUUAAGGAUUGGACACAUUCAUUGAAAAUGUAAAGUUUAUUGUCUAAGGCCAAAACCAUUUCUUAUUUA